This 433-nucleotide ribosomal RNA is filed under the name uncultured bacterium. RNAcentral's name for it is "partial 16S ribosomal RNA". It matches the Rfam family "Bacterial small subunit ribosomal RNA", at positions 30 to 507 of the family's 1533-position model. The record is from RNAcentral.
AUCGAACGCUGGCGGCAUGCCUAACACAUGCAAGUCGAACGAGACCUUCGGGUCUAGUGGCGCACGGGUGCGUAACGCGUGGGAACCUGCCCUUAGGUUCGGAAUAACUCCCCGAAAGGGGUGCUAAUACCGGAUAAUGUCUUCGGACCAAAGAUUUAUCGCCUUUGGAUGGGCCCGCGUUGGAUUAGCUAGUUGGUAGGGUAAAAGCCUACCAAGGCGACGAUCCAUAGCUGGUCUGAGAGGAUGAUCAGCCACACUGGGACUGAGACACGGCCCAGACUCCUACGGGAGGCAGCAGUGGGGAAUAUUGGACAAUGGGCGAGAGCCUGAUCCAGCAAUGCCGCGUGAGUGAUGAAGGCCUUAGGGUUGUAAAGCUCUUUUACCCGGGAUGAUAAUGACAGUACCGGGAGAAUAAGCUCCGGCUAACUCCGUG